GACGAACGCUGGCGGCGUGCUUAACACAUGCAAGUCGAACGGAAAGGCCCUGCUUUUGUGGGGUGCUCGAGUGGCGAACGGGUGAGUAACACGUGAGUAACCUGCCCUUGACUUUGGGAUAACUUCAGGAAACUGGGGCUAAUACCGGAUAGGAGCUCCUGCUGCAUGGUGGGGGUUGGAAAGUUUCGGCGGUUGGGGAUGGACUCGCGGCUUAUCAGCUUGUUGGUGGGGUAGUGGCUUACCAAGGCUUUGACGGGUAGCCGGCCUGAGAGGGUGACCGGCCACAUUGGGACUGAGAUACGGCCCAGACUCCUACGGGAGGCAGCAGUGGGGAAUAUUGCACAAUGGGCGGAAGCCUGAGGCAGCAACGCCGCGUGCGGGAUGACGGCCUUCGGGUUGUAAACCGCCUUCGCCUGUGACGAAGCGUGAGUGACGGUAAUGGGGAAAGAAGCACCGGCUAACUACGU
This 467-nucleotide ribosomal RNA is filed under the name uncultured bacterium. RNAcentral describes it as "partial 16S ribosomal RNA". It matches the Rfam family "Bacterial small subunit ribosomal RNA", at positions 28 to 506 of the family's 1533-position model. The record is from RNAcentral.